AAAUAAUCAUAGUGAGCCUCAUACUUCUGUCCAACUUCAUAGUGAAGAACCUGCAGCCCUUCUCCAUGCUCUACAGGAAUGAAAGAGAAGUCUGCUACCCUCUUUUCAAUGCUCUUGAUAAGUUUAUCUUGUCCUCUCCUCAGAAACAUUCCAGAACUCGUACGAACCCUGCUAUCUUUACUUUUACCUGUCUUGCUAUCUACCACAGUUGACUUUGUCAUGUGUGGUUUAGCCAGAGCUAUUAGGUGCUCACAUUCUUCUUUUGACAAGAAAUUGUGAUAAAGAAAUGCUCGAGGCUCCCAAGAAAUAAUUUCAGUCCACUGCUCUCCUCUCUUACCCAAACCAUCACCAUCUCUUUCAACUGCCAUACGCCGAUAGGAAGUAGUGAGAUGAUUGGGAGGAGCAUCGGCGCUGCUUAUAGGAAGAGAGAAGAUUCCCAGAGCCAAAAGCAUCAAUAGAACCACCGUUAGCAUAAAUAGCAUCGUCAAUACCAGCCACAAUGUCGACCAUUUCCUUGCUUGUAUCCUUGAGUGCCUCAGCUUCGCCAUUUCCAAAUUAGCUUCCAAACCCUAGUUAAUCAAUAAAAUUACUAAUAUAUGCGCAACUUUGAAAUUUCAAUUUGUGUGUAAACGUGCGAGAUGUGGAUUAGGGCAGCAGUGUCAAAGGACCGGCGAUUGGUAGUAGGACGUCAG
RNAcentral lists this unclassified non-coding RNA (692 nucleotides) under Hevea brasiliensis (rubber tree). Lineage: Eukaryota; Viridiplantae; Streptophyta; Magnoliopsida; Malpighiales; Euphorbiaceae. The record is from RNAcentral.